This 434-nucleotide ribosomal RNA is filed under the name uncultured Lachnospiraceae bacterium. RNAcentral's name for it is "partial 16S ribosomal RNA". It matches the Rfam family "Bacterial small subunit ribosomal RNA", at positions 341 to 792 of the family's 1533-position model. The record is from RNAcentral. Lineage: Bacteria; Bacillati; Bacillota; Clostridia; Lachnospirales; Lachnospiraceae.
ACGGAAGGCAGCAGUGGGGAAUAUUGCACAAUGGGCGAAAGCCUGAUGCAGCGACGCCGCGUGAACGAAGAAGUAUUUCGGUAUGUAAAGUUCUAUCAGCAGGGAAGAUAAUGACGGUACCUGGAGAAAAAGCAACGGCUAACUACGUGCCGGCAGCCGCGGUAAUACGUAGGUUGCAAGCGUUGUCCGGAUUUACUGGGUGUAAAGGGCGUGUAGGCGGAGCUGCAAGUCAGAUGUGAAAUCCCGGGGCUCAACCCCGGAACUGCAUUUGAAACUGUAGCCCUUGAGUAUCGGAGAGGCAAGCGGAAUUCCUAGUGUAGCGGUGAAAUGCGUAGAUAUUAGGAGGAACACCAGUGGCGAAGGCGGCUUGCUGGACGACAACUGACGCUGAGGCGCGAAAGCGUGGGGAGCAAACAGGAUUAGAUACCCUGGUA